Non-coding RNA from Aneurinibacillus migulanus, 100 nucleotides. NCBI's taxonomy places the organism in Bacteria, Bacillati, Bacillota, Bacilli, Caryophanales, Paenibacillaceae. The record is from Rfam.
CUCUUAUCCAGAGAGGUGGAGGGACUGGCCUGAUGAUACCUCGGCAACCGGUAUAAAGUCGGUGCCAAUUCCAGCGGAACCACGUUCUGAAAGAUAAGAG